RNAcentral lists this ribosomal RNA (427 nucleotides) under uncultured bacterium. RNAcentral's name for it is "bacterial SSU rRNA". It matches the Rfam family "Bacterial small subunit ribosomal RNA", at positions 355 to 775 of the family's 1533-position model. The record is from RNAcentral.
CCGAGAAUUUUUCACAAUGGGCGAAAGCCUGAUGAAGCGACGCCGCGUGGGGGAUGAAUGGCUUCGGCCCGUAAACCCCUGUCAUUUGCGAUCAACCGUUAUUAUUUAAAAGAUGAUAACCUGAUAGUAGCGAAAGAGGAAGGGACGGCUAACUCUGUGCCAGCAGCCGCGGUAAUACAGAGGUCCCAAGCGUUGCUCGGAUUUACUGGGCGUAAAGGGUGCGUAGGUGGCGGUGUAAGUCGGAUGUGAAAUCUCCGAGCUCAACUCGGAAACUGCAUUGGAAACUACAUUGCUCGAGGGUUGGAGGGGGGACUGGAAUACUUGGUGUAGCAGUGAAAUGCGUAGAUAUCAAGUGGAACACCAGUGGCGAAGGCGAGUCCCUGGACAACUCCUGACACUGAGGCACGAAAGCUAGGGGAGCAAACAG